RNAcentral lists this ribosomal RNA (601 nucleotides) under Curtobacterium sp. EA_L_74. RNAcentral describes it as "bacterial SSU rRNA". It matches the Rfam family "Bacterial small subunit ribosomal RNA", at positions 28 to 644 of the family's 1533-position model. Lineage: Bacteria; Bacillati; Actinomycetota; Actinomycetes; Micrococcales; Microbacteriaceae. The record is from RNAcentral.
GACGGGUGGGCGGCGUGCUUACACAUGCAAGUCGAACGAUGAUGCCCAGCUUGCUGGGUGGAUUAGUGGCGAACGGGUGAGUAACACGUGAGUAACCUGCCCCUGACUCUGGGAUAAGCGUUGGAAACGACGUCUAAUACUGGAUAUGAUCACUGGCCGCAUGGUCUGGUGGUGGAAAGAUUUUUUGGUUGGGGAUGGACUCGCGGCCUAUCAGCUUGUUGGUGAGGUAAUGGCUCACCAAGGCGACGACGGGUAGCCGGCCUGAGAGGGUGACCGGCCACACUGGGACUGAGACACGGCCCAGACUCCUACGGGAGGCAGCAGUGGGGAAUAUUGCACAAUGGGCGAAAGCCUGAUGCAGCAACGCCGCGUGAGGGAUGACGGCCUUCGGGUUGUAAACCUCUUUUAGUAGGGAAGAAGCGAAAGUGACGGUACCUGCAGAAAAAGCACCGGCUAACUACGUGCCAGCAGCCGCGGUAAUACGUAGGGUGCAAGCGUUGUCCGGAAUUAUUGGGCGUAAAGAGCUCGUAGGCGGUUUGUCGCGUCUGCUGUGAAAUCCCGAGGCUCAACCUCGGGCUUGCUGUGGGUACGGGCAGACUAC